Molecule: ribosomal RNA, 1480 nt
Filed under: uncultured rumen bacterium
Lineage: Bacteria
Description: bacterial SSU rRNA
Rfam family: Bacterial small subunit ribosomal RNA
Source: RNAcentral
AGAGUUUGAUCAUGGCUCAGGAUAAACGCUGGCGGCGUGCUUAACACAUGCAAGUCGAACGAGGGACAGAAGACGAGAUCUUUGGAUUAAAUUGACUGUUUCGAGUGGCGGACGGGUGAGUAACGCGUGGGGAACCUGCCUUAUACUGAGGGACAACAGCUGGAAACGGCUGCUAAUACCUCAUAUGCGCACAGGAAGGCAUCUUCCGGUGUGGAAAGAAAUUCGGUAUAAGAUGGCCCCGCGUCUGAUUAGGCAGUUGGUGAGAUAACAGCCCACCAAACCGACGAUCAGUAGCCGACCUGAGAGGGCGAACGGCCACAUUGGGACUGAGACACGGCCCAGACUCCUACGGGAGGCAGCAGUGGGGAAUAUUGCACAACGGAGGAAACUCUGAUGCAGCGACGCCGCGUGAGUGAAGAAGUAUUUCGGUAUGUAAAGCUCUAUCAGCAGGGAAGAUAAUGACGGUACCUGACUAAGAAGCCCCGGCUAACUACGUGCCAGCAGCCGCGGUAAUACGUAGGGGGCAAGCGUUAUCCGGAUUUACUGGGUGUAAAGGGAGCGUAGACGGUUCAGCAAGUCCGAUGUGAAAGGCGGAGGCUCAACUUCCGAAUUGCAUUGGAAACUGUCGGGCUGGAGUGCCGGAGAGGUAAGCGGAAUUCCUAGUGUAGCGGGUGAAAUGCGUAGAUAUUAGGAGGAACACCAGUGGCGAAGGCGGCUUUCUGGACUGAAACUGACACUGAGGCACGAAAGCGUGGGGAGCAAACAGGAUUAGAUACCCUGGUAGUCCACGCCGUAAACGAUGAGCACUAGKUGUCGGGGGAGAACCCUCGGUGCCGGAGUUAACGCAAUAAGUGCUCCGCCUGGGGAGUACGCACGCAAGUGUAAAACUCAAAGGAAUUGACGGGGACCCGCACAAGCAGCGGAGCAUGUGGUUUAAUUCGAAGCAACGCGAAGAACCUUACCAGGUCUUGACAUCCUCUUGAAAGCCGGGGUAACGCCCGGACCUCUUCGGACAAGAGAGACAGGUGGUGCAUGGUUGUCGUCAGCUCGUGUCGUGAGAUGUUGGGUUAAGUCCCGCGACGAGCGCAACCCUCGCCUUUAGUUGCCAGCGAUUCGGUCGGGCACUCUAGAGGGACUGCCGGGGACAACUCGGAGGAAGGUGGGGAUGACGUCAAAUCAUCAUGCCCCUUAUGAUCUGGGCUACACACGUGCUACAAUGGCCGGUACAACAGGAAGCGAAGGAGUGAUCCGGAGCGAAUCCCCAAAGCCGGUCCCAGUUCGGAUUGUAGGCUGCAACCCGCCUACAUGAAGUCGGAGUUGCUAGUAAUCGCGGAUCAGAAUGCCGCGGUGAAUGCGUUCCCGGGUCUUGUACACACCGCCCGUCACACCAUGGAAGUUGGGGGUGCCCGAAGUUGGUUAAUUAAUCUACUACCUAAGGCAAAACCAAUGACUGGGGUGAAGUCGUAACAAGGUAACCGUA